This 401-nucleotide ribosomal RNA is filed under the name uncultured bacterium. Its description in RNAcentral is "bacterial SSU rRNA". It matches the Rfam family "Bacterial small subunit ribosomal RNA", at positions 356 to 774 of the family's 1533-position model. The record is from RNAcentral.
CGGGAAUUUUGGGCAAUGGGCGAAAGCCUGACCCAGCAACGCCGCGUGAGGGAUGAAGUAUUUCGGUAUGUAAACCUCGAAAGAAUGGGAAGAAUAAAUGACGGUACCAUUUAUAAGCUCCGGCUAACUACGUGCCAGCAGCCGCGGUAAUACGUAGGGAGCAAGCGUUGUUCGGAAUUACUGGGCGUAAAGCGUGCGCAGGCGGUUUUGUAAGACAGAUGUGAAAUCCCCGGGCUUAACCUGGGAACUGCGUUUGUGACUGCAAGGCUGGAGUACGGCAGAGGGUGGUGGAAUUCCACGUGUAGCAGUGAAAUGCGUAGAGAUGUGGAGGAACACCGAUGGCGAAGGCAGCCCCCUGGGCCUGUACUGACGCUCAUGCACGAAAGCGUGGGGAGCAAACA